UGGGGAAUAUUGCACAAUGGGGGAAACCCUGAUGCAGCGACGCCGCGUGAACGAAGAAGGUAUUCGUAUCGUAAAGUUCUGUCCUAUGGGAAGAUAAUGACAGUACCAUAGAAGAAAGCUCCGGCUAAAUACGUGCCAGCAGCCGCGGUAAUACGUAUGGAGCGAGCGUUGUCCGGAAUUAUUGGGCGUAAAGGGUACGCAGGCGGUUUAAUAAGUCGAAUGUUAAAGAUCGGGGCUCAACCCCGUAAAGCAUUGGAAACUGAUAAACUUGAGUAGUGGAGAGGAAAGUGGAAUUCCUAGUGUAGUGGUGAAAUACGUAGAUAUUAGGAGGAAUACCAGUAGCGAGGGCGACUUUCUGGACACAAACUGACGCUGAGGUACGAAAGCGUGGGGAGCAAACAGG
RNAcentral lists this ribosomal RNA (403 nucleotides) under Bacteroidota bacterium. Its description in RNAcentral is "Bacteroidetes bacterium partial 16S ribosomal RNA". It matches the Rfam family "Bacterial small subunit ribosomal RNA", at positions 355 to 776 of the family's 1533-position model. The record is from RNAcentral. Lineage: Bacteria; Pseudomonadati; Bacteroidota.